RNAcentral lists this ribosomal RNA (253 nucleotides) under uncultured bacterium. RNAcentral's name for it is "partial 16S ribosomal RNA". It matches the Rfam family "Bacterial small subunit ribosomal RNA", at positions 524 to 776 of the family's 1533-position model. The record is from RNAcentral.
UACGGAGGGUGCAAGCGUUGUUCGGAUUUACUGGGCGUAAAGCGCGCGCAGGCGGGUUUACAAGUCAGAUGUGAAAUCUCGGGGCUUAACCCCGAAACUGCGUCUGAAACUGUAGACCUAGAAUAUCAUAGGGGGCAGGGGAAUUUCACGUGUAGGGGUAAAAUCCGUAGAGAUGUGAAGGAACACCGGAGGCGAAGGCGCCUGCCUGGAUGAUUAUUGACGCUGAGGUGCGAAAGCGUGGGGAGCAAACAGG